RNAcentral lists this ribosomal RNA (465 nucleotides) under uncultured bacterium. RNAcentral's name for it is "partial 16S ribosomal RNA". It matches the Rfam family "Bacterial small subunit ribosomal RNA", at positions 338 to 795 of the family's 1533-position model. The record is from RNAcentral.
CCUACGGGUGGCAGCAGUGGGGAAUUGUGCGCAAUGCUCGUAAGAGUGACGCAGCGACGCCGCGUGAAUGACGAAGGCCUUCGGGUCGUAAAGUUCUUUCGACAGGGAAGAAAAUGCCUAUAAGUAACUGUGUAUGUAUUGACGGUACCUGUAUAAGCAGCCCCGGCUAACUCCGUGCCAGCAGCCGCGGUAAUACAGAGGGGGCGAGCGUUGUUCGGAGUGACUGGGCGUAAAGAGCACGUAGGCGGUGUUGUAAGUCAUUAGUCAAAGACUAGAGCUCAACUUUAGUAAGGCUAGUGAUACUAUAAUACUAGAGUAUCAGAGAGGAUUGCAGAAUUCCUGGUGUAGCGGUGAAAUGCGUAGAUAUCAGGAGGAAUACCGUUAGCGAAGGCGGCAAUCUGGUCUGCAACUGACGCUGAGGCUCGAAAGCAUGGGUAGCGAACAGGAUUAGAUGCCCUGGUAGUC